This is a long non-coding RNA of Cucumis melo (muskmelon), 982 nucleotides long. RefSeq lists it as uncharacterized. The transcript is spliced from 3 exons. The record is from RefSeq and is a predicted model, not a curated record. Lineage: Eukaryota; Viridiplantae; Streptophyta; Magnoliopsida; Cucurbitales; Cucurbitaceae.
UCAGACUAUAAGCUCCUACUUAGAUCAGUGUUCUUGAAAAUUCUCAUUUACUGUCAUUCCACUUGAAAAUUUUCAUUUACUGUCAUACCCACUUGGAUUUACUUAGAUUUUCUCACCCUUAGAUCUCAAUUGAAAAUUCUCAUUUACUGAUGCAAAGCUAUUUUCAACUUAUUUUUUUAUUUAUUUCUGAACUUGUAUUUAUGGAGUUUUCUUUUGUCAAACUUUCUUGGUUUUGCUUUCUUUCGGUGGCUUUUUUGUUAAGGAAUUUGUUGUGAAUAAAUUCACUUAAGGAUUUUUGUUUGCUUCCUUUUUGGUUUAUGAAGAUUUUUGGUAAUUUAAAAUAAAGAUUUUUUGUGUUGGGGAUUAUUCAGGCUGCUUGUAUGUUUCUCUAAGUACGUAGGUUAAGGGUGCUUAUUGAGAUUAACUAGAGCUGUCAAUAUAUUUAAGCCUAUGCAGAAACAUAGAAACUUGAAUUGUAGGCCUUCAAUUAAAACAUAUAAUCUACUUUUUACUGAAUUUUUGAGUCGAUGUCAUAAUACUUAUUUUUUCUCAAUUGUACUUGUGUAUCAAUUGAAGGUUUAAGACUUACAGGUGCCAUUUACUAAAAGGUUAAAACCUUAUGAUAUUUAUCUAGAUGCUCAGCUUCAUAUAGUUCUAAAUUAAGAUGAUCACUAGUGCUUACCUUUCGUGGUCACACACGGCUUAUAAAUGCUACAAUUAUUAGACAAUCAGUGAGAGAUCUCUUUAUGGGAGUUGAAUAACAAGAUAUCUUCUCCAAAAGAAGCUUGUGAUGCCUUAUGUCUUUUCUUAUCAAAUUCAAGUUAGGGCAUGGUGGAAAGGUUUACAAACAUGUAGAGUUCAAUAUAACCUCACCAUCACCACAAGCCAAGAAUUUGUGUUACAAGUAUGAUGUUUGGUCUAUCCUUCCAAACUUGUGACUUAAUAAAUAUUCUUGUGUUGAUAUGAGUUUACUAGUUUGGUU